AGUCGAGCGAACAGACGAGGAGCUUGCUCCUCUGACGUUAGCGGCCUUUUAGGUGAGUAACACGUGGAUAACCUACCUAUAAGACUGGNAUAACUUCGGGAAACCGGAGCUAAUACCGGAUAAUAUAUUGAACCGCAUGGUUCAAUAGUGAAAGACGGUUUUGCUGUCACUUAUAGAUGGAUCCGCGCCGCAUUAGCUAGUUGGUAAGGUAACGGCUUACCAAGGCAACGAUGCGUAGCCGACCUGAGAGGGUGAUCGGCCACACUGGAACUGAGACACGGUCCAGACUCCUACGGGAGGCAGCAGUAGGGAAUCUUCCGCAAUGGGCGAAAGCCUGACGGAGCAACGCCGCGUGAGUGAUGAAGGUCUUCGGAUCGUAAAACUCUGUUAUUAGGGAAGAACAAAUGUGUAAGUAACUAUGCACGUCUUGACGGUACCUAAUCAGAAAGCCACGGCUAACUACGUGCCAGCAGCCGCGGUAAUACGUAGGUGGCAAGCGUUAUCCGGAAUUAUUGGGCGUAAAGCGCGCGUAGGCGGUUUUUUAAGUCUGAUGUGAAAGCCCACGGCUCAACCGUGGAGGGUCAUUGGAAACUGGAAAAC
This 600-nucleotide ribosomal RNA is filed under the name bacterium Ca.S19A. RNAcentral describes it as "bacterial SSU rRNA". It matches the Rfam family "Bacterial small subunit ribosomal RNA", at positions 60 to 641 of the family's 1533-position model. The record is from RNAcentral.